CAAGGAUGUGUCAGUGCCUAGAGGAGCUGCCUACAAGAAACACCAAAGAGAUGACUAACUGCUACCAACAGGAAGCUGGGCAUUAGCAAAGUCUUCCUUUACACUCUUUAGUUCAGAAGAAAAACUUUGACAAAAGGAAAAGCCUAGACCACUCUCUCAGAUUUGACACCUAAUUCAUGGUAGCAAAAGGAAGCUGGAUGUCUCCUACUAUGGGAGGUUUCUACAUGAGGUGCAGCCCAACACUUGUUAGGCUGUUUUUCCACUGGAAGUGAAAUUACUUUUAUGUAGCUUUAGUUAAAUGUCUGAAUCUGUGUAAAUACCAAUUAAUACAUUUACUUCUGAUUAGGAUAUUUUAUAAUUUGGUUUCCUGAUUUGCAGUGUAACUUAUAUUAUGGAGAUUAAUGAGUUUCCCUGUAAGUCAGUCUCUUAAGGCAAUGACAGUUUGAAGACAUUUUACAUCGUUUUUUCCUAAUAAUUAUAUGACAGAAGAGAGACCAUAAAGAUACAAAUAUGUAAACUGGAAAGGUCAGGUCAGGGGAAUUUUGUAAAAGCAGUAUAGGCGAAAUACAGAGCAUGAGGGAGAAGACCAACUGAUCCCUAAGACUAAAUGUAAAACUAUAGUCCUGGUAACUCAGCAGAGGGAAAUAGAGUAAUACAUUUUCUGAGGCUGAAGUUUGUAAUCCUUGAAGAAUGUUCCAAAGAAGACUGAGAUAUCUGGGUGCACAAGACACAGGCUUAAGAUGACAGCAAUAAAUAUAAAAUAAAUAUGCAGUCUUGGGGCAAACAAGAUAAAUAAAACAAUAUUGCUGGUACGUAUAAUGCCAGCAGACAUAAAGCAGAAGGAAGGGUUACCAAACACAAAGACAGUGAAAAUCCUUAAAAAAACCCAGAACUUGUACUGCAAAUAGAGAAAGCAGUACACAAAAGCAGUUAAUUCAUAAUUGUAUCAGUGAAGAAUGCAUGCUGCUUUAGUUUCUAGAGAAUGAAUGAAUUCGAGUGAAGCAGCAUGUGAACAAGAAAAUUGCAAGCAGGAACAUUUAGGACCCCUUUUUCCAUUACUAUGAUGGAUAAAUAGAUAGCUUUAAAAAUUUAUUUUGUUAAAGCACUGUUAUCCUCAUAGUGUUAGGCUGAAAAGUGUUUAUCAAUUGACAGGAGCAGUUGUUUACUUGGCGGAGAAUUUUUUUACCUGUAGACUGUAUUGAUAUCUCUUCCCUUUUUGUGUAACUAUUCAGUAUUUUAAAAAUGUUUUCUUAGAAACUACAGCAUCUUUUAAAAAUGUCCUUUUUUAAAAAAAUUAUUAAUUUUGUGUUUAUAUUCAAGAAUUUUAUCCCCAUGUUUGCCUGUUUUUUUCCCUUCCUUUUGACUGCAGCCUGGCUAAAGAAAGUCAGCUUCAUCCUCUAAGAGUUGGCCAAGCUAAUUCAAGUUUUAUUUCUCUCCACUAUGGUUUUUGUCUGCUGUAUUUUUCAGUGAGCCAUGCUGACUCCUACUGAUUCCAUUUUUAGUUUCCUAGUCCUUCUCAUGUUUUGAACAGGAAUCUGUGAUGUGUAAUUAAGAGUGUGAAUUCCCAUAUGCUGGAACUGUCUAAAGCUGAGCAUCCCCAAGCAACUAUUCCCUCAGAAAGCAUGACUUUUGCUCUAAAAUAAUAUAGAUAAUUUUGAAAAGUAAUCUUUUAAACUAAAGGGCAACUUCCAAAGGCAAAAUAUACUUUUUGUUUGAUCAGAGAUGUCAGGUAUUUUUUUCCAAAAUUAAUGUAAUAUGUUAGAUUGUGCCUGAAUAAGGCAGAGUAAAAUCUGACUAAAUAUCUCAGGCUAUUUACUGAAAGAAGACUAAAGAGGAUAUUGUUCUUCCCUAAAUAAGGAUGGUGACAUUUCACAGAAAUUGGAAAAUAGUAUUGGAAAAAAGCCCCAAAAGAUGAACAGUGGAAAAGUAUUUAUGAUCAGUUUUAGUCCUAAUAGUACCUUAAGAAAAAAAAAAAAUCAAGGUUCCUGCAUUACCUUGCAAUGUAUUUUAUUCAAUUUGGAGAGAAAUUGGUAGCCCUUAUCUUGUACAAGCAGUGCUUGGUUCUGAAAGCUUCUGUUCAAGUCCAGGCUUACUGGAUCACUAACAGGAUGAGAGGCUUCAGAGGGUGUAUGGAAGAGAGCUGCCUUCUGAGCCUUACAACAAAGGCAGCAGAGCACCCACUGAGCAGCAUAAUGACCUUGUUUCCAGAGGCUGUCUCCAAAGUUUGUAGUGUUAAUCUUUAGCAAUAGUGUCUGUAAAGCUCAUUGCUUAGACAUUUGAAAAUGUCUCCAGACUGCUUGUUGCUUGCUUGAAAAUGACUAAGUAAAAUUAGCUCUUGAAUUGUAUAUUGAAAUUUUAUUAUGUUUUCAGCAAUGGAGUUUAUUUAAAUACUGGAAUUUCUAA
Molecule: long non-coding RNA, 2403 nt
Organism: Zonotrichia leucophrys gambelii
Lineage: Eukaryota; Metazoa; Chordata; Aves; Passeriformes; Passerellidae
Exons: 3
Source: RefSeq, a predicted model, not a curated record